Grammomys surdaster is the source of this 428-nucleotide long non-coding RNA. RefSeq lists it as uncharacterized. NCBI's taxonomy places the organism in Eukaryota, Metazoa, Chordata, Mammalia, Rodentia, Muridae. The record is from RefSeq and is a predicted model, not a curated record. The transcript is spliced from 2 exons.
GCAAGUGCCGUUGACAGAGUGCAGGCGGGAAGCUUCGGUUUGGGUAGAGAUGUAGCAUCAAGCAUUCACGGAUGUCCAGGGAGCACAGGCUGCUGGCCAGAGAUACUAGGAAGGUACAGGCGGGAGCUCGACGAGGAUGCACCUUCCCCUGUCUUGGAAAGGGGGCUCCUCACAGCGAUGCUGGACUCACUAAGCCCUGAGGUCAUGUGAAAAGAAGUUUGCCUUGGGCCCAUCUGUCUCCUGUUGGCUGGCCACAAGAUGGAGAAGGCGGAAGCAACCUGAGGAGUCCUCUUUGUCUGUAAGGAUAGAGGGUCCAUUGUGGAAGGGAGAGAUACUGGAAUUGUAUAGGCGAGGCCCUACCAGCCCCGCAUCUCUUAUCUCCAGAAUUCUUUUACAGAAUAGAAAAAAUAAACGUUUAUCUGGCUUAA